Molecule: long non-coding RNA, 503 nt
Filed under: Danio rerio (zebrafish)
Lineage: Eukaryota; Metazoa; Chordata; Actinopteri; Cypriniformes; Danionidae
Description: lncRNA si:dkey-189o20.1 (ENSDARG00000093449.4)
Source: RNAcentral
CUAGUAAUUUUAACUACUAAUUAUUUAGUAAAUUACUAAUUGUCAUUUCAUGUUAUUUAGAACAUCACCAGUGGAAAAAAGGUGUGAAUGCACCCUCAAAGCCCCUAAGUGAGGGAGUACAUGGAUGCUGGGCAUGAUGAAGCGCAAACCUUGAUGUGCAACACCACCUUAUGAAUCUACAGUAGUUACAUUAACAUUUAGCAGACUCUUUUGUCUAAAGUGACUUACAAUUGAGGACACAUUCAGCAAAUCAACAAGAAAAGCAGAUACACCCAAGAUGUGCUAAUUAUACAAAAAAAUUUAAGAAUUAAGAAUGCUUCUACAUGGAAUUAAGAAUGCUUCUACGCGACUUGCGCGCCCAGUUGUCCAGCCAAUCUAAGUUUUUGCCUUCUCCUCGGAAGGACCCCCGUCUAACGCUGUAGUCCAGCAGCAGCUCCUCCCCCAUGGAGAUGUCCCGAAGGGCGCGGAAUAGAACGCACUCCCGUGGCCCCUGUGGCAGCGUU